AGUAGAAUUGCUAGAGCAUAUGGUAAUCCUGUAUUUAGCCUUUGGAAGAACUCCCAAACUGUUUUCCAAUGUGGCUGUACCAUUUACAAUUCCACCAGUAGU
RNAcentral lists this microRNA precursor (102 nucleotides) under Marmota monax (woodchuck). Lineage: Eukaryota; Metazoa; Chordata; Mammalia; Rodentia; Sciuridae. The record is from RNAcentral.